This 253-nucleotide ribosomal RNA is filed under the name uncultured bacterium. Its description in RNAcentral is "partial 16S ribosomal RNA". It matches the Rfam family "Bacterial small subunit ribosomal RNA", at positions 524 to 776 of the family's 1533-position model. The record is from RNAcentral.
UACGAAGGGGGCUAGCGUUGUUCGGAAUCACUGGGCGUAAGGGGCGCGUAGGCGGCUUUAUAAGUCGGGGGUGAAAGCCUGUGGCUCAACCACAGAAUUGCCUUCGAUACUGUAUGGCUUGAGACCGGAAGAGGUAAGUGGAACUGCGAGUGUAGAGGUGAAAUGCGUAGAUAUCUGGAGGAACACCGGUGGCGAAGGCGGCAUUCUGGACCGAAACUGACGCUGAGGCGCGAAAGCCAGGGGAGCAAACGGG